Molecule: transfer RNA, 72 nt
Filed under: Holosporales bacterium
Lineage: Bacteria; Pseudomonadati; Pseudomonadota; Alphaproteobacteria; Holosporales
Description: tRNA-Val
Rfam family: tRNA
About the family: Transfer RNA (tRNA) molecules are approximately 80 nucleotides in length. Their secondary structure includes four short double-helical elements and three loops (D, anti-codon, and T loops). Further hydrogen bonds mediate the characteristic L-shaped molecular structure. tRNAs have two regions of fundamental functional importance: the anti-codon, which is responsible for specific mRNA codon recognition, and the 3' end, to which the tRNAs corresponding amino acid is attached (by aminoacyl-tRNA synthetases). tRNAs cope with the degeneracy of the genetic code in two manners: having more than one tRNA (with a specific anti-codon) for a particular amino acid; and 'wobble' base-pairing, i.e. permitting non-standard base-pairing at the 3rd anti-codon position.
Source: RNAcentral
GGUCACGUAGCUUAGUGGUAGAGCACUGUGUUCACAUCGCAGGGGUCACAGGUUCAAGUCCUGUCGUGAUCA